AUCUGAAACCAGCCUUGAACAAUCCAUAGAUCUCUGACAAGGCAAGGGGAAAAGGUCCGACCCGUGCAAGGCAUUAUGAAAUGAACAUAUGGAAUCCACUGACUUCAGGAAAUAUUUUCAGAGUGCACACAUAUUUCUUCAAGACGUUAACAUCCCAGGGGAGGAGGAGGAAUAAAAACAUGACAGGGAGUAAUUUAAAAUGGCAGGUCUGCUGAGGGUACAGGCAACUUUCCAGGGCAGCUGUCUUCCAUGUGGGAGCUCAGAACCUCAGGCUAAUUCAAUCAUGUGGCAUGUCCAUAACAAGUUCUUCUGGGAUUGCUGCGGCAGUGAAGAAAAUCUGCACGGUCCUAUAGGUGGCUGUGACAGUUCCUUGCUACCAUCAUUCAAAGGUUGUUUAAAAGUGAUUCCUCUUAAACUCCAGAGAAUGGACCAGUUGGCCUAUCAAGUUCCCCUCCACCCAUAGAAGCCCACGAAUGCCAUCAAAUAAUGGAGGCUUUCCUUUCGUGCAAAUGAACAACUCCUUGGAAACUCAUAGUUGCUUCAAAAGGGAAGAACAUUCAGAACAUGAUCAGGGAAAUUAUGACUUGACAGGUGACAAGCAUUUGAGAAACAAGUUUGCCUUUUUUCAUUCCCUUCCUGGUUAUGUCUCCUGUCACAGGAGAAAGAAAUGAAACACCAGAAUGAAUCAGGUUAUAUCAUCAAUACACUGGUUACUGUCAUUGGUGAAGCAUUAAUGUAAUAGUUUAUCUUUCAUAUAAGACGGUGCCCCCCAUUCAGGGUGCUUGCAUUUUGAGAUGUUUCCCAUGCAUGUCACAUUGCAGGAGGUUUCUUGGUCACUAUGGGGGUUGGCUUCUUUAAAGCAGGAGUUUUCAAUCUUCAUAUUCUUGUUGUAGAACCCUUUGUUUAAAAGCCCAAAAUGUAAACCAGAUGAAACCAGAGCUGCUCUGUAG
This is a long non-coding RNA of Vulpes vulpes (red fox), 950 nucleotides long. The record is from Ensembl. Lineage: Eukaryota; Metazoa; Chordata; Mammalia; Carnivora; Canidae.